This 1455-nucleotide ribosomal RNA is filed under the name Staphylococcus saprophyticus. RNAcentral's name for it is "bacterial SSU rRNA". It matches the Rfam family "Bacterial small subunit ribosomal RNA". The record is from RNAcentral. Lineage: Bacteria; Bacillati; Bacillota; Bacilli; Caryophanales; Staphylococcaceae.
UGGGGCUUGGGGCAGCUAUAAUGCAGUCGAGCGACAGAUAGGAGCUUGCUCCUUUGACGUUAGCGGCGGACGGGUGAGGAACACGUGGGUAACCUACCUAUAAGACUGGGAUAACUUCGGGAAACCGGAGCUAAUACCGGAUAACAUUUGGAACCGCAUGGUUCUAAAGUGAAAGAUGGUUUUGCUAUCACUUAUAGAUGGACCCGCGCCGUAUUAGCUAGUUGGUAAGGUAACGGCUUAUCGUAGUACUAUCCGCAUCUGACCUAGAGGGUAUCGUAUCUGACGACCCUGUUCAUAUCUAACGAACGCAGCAGUAUGGUAUUCUCCGCAUGAAGAAGCUGAUGGAAGGCAUGCUGCUGUAGUGAUGAAUGGAUUUCGCUAGUUAACUCUCGUAGUUAGGGAAGAACCAGACGUGUAACGUACUGUGCCAUGUCUUGACGGUACUAAUCAGAAAGCCACAACUACUUACGUGCCAGCAGCCGUGGUAGUUACGUAGUUGGCAGCGUUAUCAUGAAUUAUUGGGCGUACAGCGCGCGUCGGUCGGCCUCCUAAAGUCUGAUGAGAACAGCCCACGCCUCACCCGUGGGAGGGUCAUUGGAAACUGGGAAACUGAGUGCAGAAGAAGAAAAGUGGAAAUUCCCCUGUGUAGCGGUGAAAUGCGCAGAGAUAUGGGAGGAACACCAGUGGCGAAGGCCGACUUUUCUGGUCUGUAACUGACGCUGAUGUGCGAAAGCGUGGGGAUCAAACAGGAUUAGAUACCCCUGGUAGUCCACGCCGUAAACGAUGAGUGCUAAGUGUUAGGGGGUUUCCGCCCCCUUAGUGCUGCAGCUAACGCAUUAAGCACUCCGCCUGGGGAGUACGACCGCAAGGUUGAAACUCAAAGGAAUUGACGGGGACCCGCACAAGCGGUGGAGCAUGUGGUUUAAUUCGAAGCAACGCGAAGAACCUUACCAAAUCUUGACAUCCUUUGAAAACUCUAGAGAUAGAGCCUUCCCCUUCGGGGGACAAAGUGACAGGUGGUGCAUGGUUGUCGUCAGCUCGUGUCGUGAGAUGUUGGGUUAAGUCCCGCAACGAGCGCAACCCUUAAGCUUAGUUGCCAUCAUUAAGUUGGGCACUCUAGGUUGACUGCCGGUGACAAACCGGAGGAAGGUGGGGAUGACGUCAAAUCAUCAUGCCCCUUAUGAUUUGGGCUACACACGUGCUACAAUGGACAAUACAAAGGGCAGCUAAACCGCGAGGUCAUGCAAAUCCCAUAAAGUUGUUCUCAGUUCGGAUUGUAGUCUGCAACUCGACUACAUGAAGCUGGAAUCGCUAGUAAUCGUAGAUCAGCAUGCUACGGUGAAUACGUUCCCGGGUCUUGUACACACCCCCCGUCUCACCACGAGAGUUUGUAACACCCGAAGCCGGUGGAGUAACCAUUUAUGGAGCUAGCCGUCGAAGGUGACAAAAAUUUCC